UUAGUUAGUUGGCGGAGUAACAGCCCACCAAGACGAUGAUCAGUAGCUGGUCUGAGAGGACGAACAGCCACACUGGAACUGAGACACGGUCCAGACUCCUACGGGAGGCAGCAGUGAGGAAUUUUGCUCAAUGGGCGCAAGCCUGAAGCAGCGACGCCGCGUGAAUGAUGAAGUCUUUCGGGAUGUAAAGUUCUGUCGAUGGGGACAAUUAUGAUGGUACCCAUAGAGGAAGCACCGGCAAACUAUGUGCCAGCAGCCGCGGUAAUACAUAGGGUGCAAGCGUUAUCCGGAUUUACUGGGCGUAAAGCGUAUGUAGGCGGUAUUCUAAGUCAAACUUCAAAUACUGAGGCUUAACUUCGGUUCGGGUUUGAUACUGAAAUACUAGAGUUUGAGAGAGGAAAGCGGAACUAACAGUGUAGCGGUGAAAUGCGUAGAUAUUGUUAGGAACACCCGUGGCGAAGGCGGCUUUCUGGAUCAACACUGACGCUGAGAUACGAAAGCGUGGGGAGCAAACAGGAUUAGAUACCCUGGUAGUCCACGCUGUAAACAAUGUACAUUAGGUAUAGGGGGUAUCGACUCCUCCUGUGCCGAAGCUAACGCGUUAAAUGUACCGCCUGGGGAGUACGGUCGCAAGAUUAAAACUCAAAGGAAUUGACGGGGGCCCGCACAAGCAGUGGAUCAUGUGGUUUAAUUCGACGAUACCCGAAAAACCUUACCAGAACUUGACAUCUAGGGAAUUUCGUAGAAGUACGAAGGUGCCCGCAAGGGAACCCUAAGACAGGUAGUGCAUGGUUGUCGUCAGCUCGUGUCGUGAGAUGUUAGGUUAAGUCCUGCAACGAGCGCAACCCCCGUAUUGUGUUGCUACAUUUAGUUGAGCACUCUCAAUAGACUGCCCGUGGUAAACGGGAGGAAGGUGGGGAUGACGUCAAAUCAUCAUGCUCCUUACGUUCUGGGCUACACACAUGAUACAAUGGCAAGCACAAAGGGAUGCCAAGCCGCAAGGCGGAGCAAAUCUCAGAAAACUUGCCUCAGUUCAGAUUGCAGGCUGCAACUCGCCUGCAUGAAGAUGGA
RNAcentral lists this ribosomal RNA (1071 nucleotides) under uncultured bacterium. Its description in RNAcentral is "bacterial SSU rRNA". It matches the Rfam family "Bacterial small subunit ribosomal RNA", at positions 241 to 1330 of the family's 1533-position model. The record is from RNAcentral.